UGAGAAUUCAUAUGCCAUUGAGGA
This 24-nucleotide non-coding RNA is filed under the name Arabidopsis thaliana (thale cress). The record is from RNAcentral. Lineage: Eukaryota; Viridiplantae; Streptophyta; Magnoliopsida; Brassicales; Brassicaceae.